Molecule: transfer RNA, 73 nt
Organism: Ovis aries (sheep)
Lineage: Eukaryota; Metazoa; Chordata; Mammalia; Artiodactyla; Bovidae
Rfam family: tRNA
About the family: Transfer RNA (tRNA) molecules are approximately 80 nucleotides in length. Their secondary structure includes four short double-helical elements and three loops (D, anti-codon, and T loops).
Source: Rfam
UCCCUGGUGGUCAAGUAGUUAAGACUCUGCACUUCCAAUUCAGGGUGCUCGGGUUCGAUCCCUGGUUGGGGAA